Long non-coding RNA from Lolium rigidum, 371 nucleotides. RefSeq lists it as uncharacterized. Lineage: Eukaryota; Viridiplantae; Streptophyta; Magnoliopsida; Poales; Poaceae. The transcript is spliced from 4 exons. The record is from RefSeq and is a predicted model, not a curated record.
UAAUCUGAAUACAGUCUGCAAAGAACUCAACAUUAUUGGGAAGGAUAUUGAAAAGUUCAAGAAACCAAAGUCCCCAAAUUACACCUGUAGUGCACUGAUGCAUGAAAGCGGAAUCUACACGAUGCUCUAUGCGGAAAAUUGGCAUGGAAAAUUUAUGAAAUCUUUCACCAAAGAAAUUGUUCCACACUUUAAGAUGCUGAAAGCAUAUGACAUGUUUUAUUGUAUUCAGAACAAGGUUGCUAAUCAACACUUUGAGAAAACCAGGAAAAGAAAGCGUUAGCGGGGGCAGCGCCAGUCUACUGGGGAUGGUCUUCAAAUGAAAGUCUAUGCAAUAUCUAUUGAGGGGGCCAUGUCCAGUGAUGACAUUUCAU